This is a long non-coding RNA of Numida meleagris (helmeted guineafowl), 1940 nucleotides long. RefSeq lists it as uncharacterized. The record is from RefSeq and is a predicted model, not a curated record. Lineage: Eukaryota; Metazoa; Chordata; Aves; Galliformes; Numididae. The transcript is spliced from 3 exons.
GUGGAGGUGAGGUGAUCUCACUGGAGGGCCCUGUGUACCUGAGGCCUUCUAAAGGGCACGUGAAAAUUGAGGAGUUGAAAAAGAGAUGCAGAAGGAUGUUUGCCCAUACAGCCCAUGGAUCUCCAAACUGGAAGGACACCCAUCUCCAUUGGAGGCCUUCAGCCCAUUUCUUCUGCCUCAGCACGCAUAUGGAAAUUUGUCCAGAGCCUCCCAUUUCUUCUAGAGUGGAUCAAUAUGGCUGUGCUACCAUUGAUGAAGAAGCAUUCUAGAGUAUCUAUGUCAUUAAUUUUAAUAUACUUGUCUGAGUCCAGAGUAAACUUUUGUUCAAAAAAGCAAGGGAAACCUUCUUUCCUGAUGGUUCUUUCUUUCUCUCGCACUCUCUCUCUCUCAGGCCAUAUCGUUUGCAUUUUUUGCAACCUCCAAGUGAUUGGGAGUACAGUGAUCUGCCUGUUGCCUCCCAGCUGAAAUGCCAGCUUAGCUGGUCCUGUAGAUCAGCAGCCACAGAGAUUUUCAAAGACAACUUCCAAGCCAUAAAAAUGAGAUACAGGGCACUAUAUAAAGCAAAACCAGAUCAUUCCUCAGCCUAAAGCCACCCGUGAAGCAUCAGUCUACAGGAAUCAUUUCACAUGUGUUUUAAUCAACUUGUAACUUACGCUGGAUAUAUGGGAAUAGUUAAAUUUAUAGAGCUUGGAGUCUGGCCCAUUAAACUCUGUCUAUACUGCUUUAACACUCCUGGAAGCCUAUGUUCAAAUUUGCUUCAAGUCACGACUCAAAUUAAUUCUCUAAGUUCCAGAGAAGUGCACAGCUCAGGCCCAUCAAUGUUGCACCAAACCCAAAGCAAAAGCUUCUCCAUGCAAUUGGUCUGGGAUGCCAAGGAGUAGAGGGUGGCGGAGCAGAUGGGACACGUGGAGCUGUCUGGCUCUGGUUUGCGCCACUAGCUGCACGCCUUCAGGAGAACCAGCCUCACCAAACGUGCACGAGCAGAAACAUGUGUUAGUGUAAUUGGUGGAGAUGAGACCCAGAUGUUUUGCUGAAGCAAUCUCCAUUACUGGCUGCUAAUUUGGACAUUUUCUGGGCGUCCGCUAUUCUUAUCAACAGGGUAGGGCUUUGUAGUUCAUUUUUCCUGUAUUCUCUUGGAGCAUGUUUAGCUGAUAGCAUCAGUGUCUGUGCAGUAGCAGUAAGAGCCCUGCCCUUGCAGGUACUGUGGAAACUAGAGACAGGAUUUUGCCAGUCAGGACAGGAAUGUUUAUUUGAAUGUAAGGAGAGAACCAGACCUGUGACUGCUGUAUCUGCCAUGAGUCUCAGAGGAGUACCCAAGGCAAAAACUGACAGACUUGGAAAUAGUGCUGUGCCUGGUGCAGCGGGGAAAAAAAACACGAGAACCCUUGUGAGAGCAUGCACUCCUCAUGCUGGAAACACAUUUCUGGUUUCCAGAAAAGACGGCUGCAAUGUGCAUGCCUCGGGUUGCCCAGUGACAUGCAGACUUACGCGCCACAUAUAUACGGGGGAAGUUGUGGAGGUAAUUACUUCAAUUAUCUUGUUGCCUGGGCAACCACAUAACACACACACUCGGGCUUUAAUGAGUCACUGGGAGCCAUGGGGCUCUUCAGCACGGCAAGAGAGCAGGCAAAGAGCUCUCCAGACCCUACAGCUCUGCAGGCCAAGCCAGGGAAUGCAGAGGAACUGAGGGACUCCAUCACUGCCCAACAUCCCCACUUACACCAUCUCAAGGCUAAGGGUGGAGAAUAUGCUGGUUUUCUGCCCUUGACACAUGCUUUUUCAAAUGGCAGCUGGGUGGGUGAUGCCUAUCAGCCUAAGAAAGUCAUGGGCUUUUUUUCCCACCAGAUUCAUGGAGCUGCUGGAGCAGGUCCAGAGGAGGGCCACAAAGAUGAUCAAAGGGCUAGAGCACCUCAUCUAUGAAGAAAGGCUGAGGGAGUUGA